Lynx canadensis (Canada lynx) is the source of this 447-nucleotide non-coding RNA. The record is from the annotation of a RefSeq genome assembly. NCBI's taxonomy places the organism in Eukaryota, Metazoa, Chordata, Mammalia, Carnivora, Felidae.
CCGGUCACACCCUGUGCAGGACCCAGGCCCGGUCAGGACACAGCAUGGACGUGAAGGCCCCCGCUCAGCUCCUGGGCCUCCUGCUGCUCCGGCUCCCAGGAGCCAGCUGCGAAAUCCAGAUGACCCAGUCUCCAUCCUCGCUGUCUGCAUCUCCAGGAGACAGAGUCACCAUCACCUGCCGGGCGAGUCAGAACGUUAACACGUGGUUAGACUGGUUUCAGCAGAAACCGGGGAAAGUUCCUAAGCUUCUGAUCUAUCGUGCAUCCACGUUGCAAACUGGGGUCUCCUCGCGGUUCAGCGGCAGUGGGUCUGGGACAGAUUUCACCCUCACCAUCGGCAGCCUGGAGCCUGAAGACGCUGCCACUUACUACUGCCAGCAAAGUAACAAUUUCCCUCGCACAGUGUUACAGACCAGACCAUAAACCACCAGGGACGCAGAUGUGAGAG